Long non-coding RNA from Equus caballus (horse), 2166 nucleotides. RefSeq lists it as uncharacterized. NCBI's taxonomy places the organism in Eukaryota, Metazoa, Chordata, Mammalia, Perissodactyla, Equidae. The record is from RefSeq and is a predicted model, not a curated record.
GAUCUGAAAUCAACACAGACCUCUGAGGGCACAAGCAAAAUGGACUAGUCAUGGCUGUGCUGCUCCUGUCUGAGGUUACGUAGCUGAGGAUACGAUCCUGCCUGAGGAUACGAUCCUGCCACGGGCAAAAGGAACCCACUGGGAGACUCCGGAAGUGGCCAUGCUUCCUCCCGACUGGCACCUGUGCAGGGGCUGGCCGCCACCCAUGGCACAGUGUCUCACAGAGGGCGGGGCUGGCCGAGGAGGCAGGAAAGAGCUGUUGUGCUGAUGAGGUGCCGUCGUGUCACACGGACAGGAGUGCCAGAAUUCAGAGGAAGCGCGGGCCUAGGCCGUGGCCAGAACAUCCAGCCUGGCUUUGUGAAUAUCCUGAUGCUUUGAGCUACCCUCAUUCCAACUGCCCGGCCAGGGAAAGGCUGAAGAGGACUGAGCAGUACUCCAAACACGGAAGAGACUAAGAGUGUUGGACUAGCUCGGAGGGCAGGUGGAUCCUGUACAGAGAAGAUCUCUUGGAUGAGUAGUCCUUUGAGCAGGAGGUUGUGAAGCUCCAAGGGGGCAGGGCACAGGAGUUCCCUUGGUUUACAGCAAAAGGAUGAGGACCAGAAGAUUCUGGAAGAAUAAGGAAGAGGAAAGGAAGGGUGGGGAAUCUGCUCCAGCUCCACCCUGCACUCUGGAUCCUCAAACCAUUGCUCUACUUUUCCUUACCUGCCUGUGGGUCUCCUAGACCUGGGAUCUCUGAUUCCAGGUAACAGACAAAGCCCCUGUCCCUUUGUCCUCCAUUCCCCACUUCCCAGCCCCUGCCUCCCCGCAGCUGUGAUAACCCACACGUAGCACUCUGCCCUCUGGAAUUUAUUUUAAGGUCUUGGCUUGUUUAUUUAUUUUAUUUAGAGAUUUCUCGGUGCUUUGUGGGGAGGAAAAUUCGAAUGGGGCGAUUAUGAAAUACUAUUUCACCUCGCUGUUCAUUCACAACAAACAAAGAGAAAUGAUUGGUGAUUAAAAAUGCAUUCUCUCUGCUUGUUUUCUUUUGUUUUACCAUUAUGGAAAUAUUAUAAAUACUGAAUACUAAUCUAGACCUCCGGGACCUCACAGACCUUCCCGAAACCAAGGCUCCUGCUCUUCCCUGGGGCAGCCUCAUGCUGUCCUCUGGGGCCCCAAAAUAUAGCUCAAACCCUCCCCGGAGGGUCCCAGGCCAGGAGACUCCAUGACUCAGUCCUCACUGGACAGAGAUUGAAGUCUCCCACUUCUUUGUCCUGGUUCCUCGCUUUGGCAGAAAUAGUCAAGGAGAGCAGAGCCGUGGAUAUGCAGAGCUCUUGAUUAGUCCAAAAGUUGUGAUCAUAGAGUUUUAUCCCCAGAGUCCAGCACCUGAACCCCCACUCCCUGCUCCACCACUUCUUGGCUGUGUAACUUGGGCAUGUGGCUUCACCUUUCUGAGCUUCCGUUUCUUACUCUGGUUGCUGGGGGUGAAAAUGGUACCCACCUCGUAGGAUUGCUUUGAGGAUUAAAUGGGGUCAUAACAUCUUAUCACAGGGCCUGGCAAACAGAAGUGCUCAAUGAAUGUUGGCUUCUAUCUCAAUUAAUUUCCCUUUCCCUCUUCCGGUCUCAGUUUCUCCCUCUGGAAAGUGAGAAUGCUGCCCUCUAAGUUCCCCCCAGCUCCGGUGGGCGAGGCUUCUGCCUCCAGGAUGAGCGGCAGUGGGGACAUCCUCACGCAUCCUGACUUUCUCUGAGACCUUGUCUGCUUCCCGGGAAGACAGCCUGUACCUGCUCGGGAGGCCUCCGAGUCAGAGCCUGCUUCCCGUGGCCUCUUUUUGAGCCACAAACCUGGCGCUUCCCCCGGUUCCGAUCACAAACAGAUAAGAGUCCGAGGGCCUGAUCCAAUUCCAAAGUGUUACACCAAGUCCAGAUAAACAGUGAGUUCCGUGGUGUCCGCGUUCCUUUUAUCUUUCACUUUAUUUAACCAAAUUAACUGCUCUCCAUGUCCCCUGUGUGUGAGUGUCUCUCUCUGUCAUAUAAAAUACAAUCACGCUUGCUUGCUACAUGUUUCAGAUACUUUAUCAUUAACAUCAAUUCCAGCCAAAUUAGGAGUUUCUCCCAACAUAAUUGCCCUUCCCAUUAUCCAGCACUUUAUUUUUUCAAAGCACUUUCCGACCAUUAAUUAGUUAACCCUUAGGA